RNAcentral lists this ribosomal RNA (514 nucleotides) under uncultured bacterium. RNAcentral's name for it is "partial 16S ribosomal RNA". It matches the Rfam family "Bacterial small subunit ribosomal RNA", at positions 29 to 523 of the family's 1533-position model. The record is from RNAcentral.
AACGAACGCUGGCGGCGUGCCUAACACAUGCAAGUCGCACGUGAAAGUCUUUCGGGAUGAGUAAAGUGGCGCACGGGUGAGUAAGACGUAGGUGACCUGCCUUUUAGAGGGGAAUAACCAGAAGAAAUUUUGGCUAAUGCCGCAUACGAAGCACAAAUCUUAGAGUAGUGCUUGAAAGAAUGCCUCUGCAUAUGCAUUCACUAAAAGAUGGGCCUGCGGAACAUUAGCUAGUUGGUGGGGUAAAGGCCUACCAAGGCAACGAUGUUUAUCCGGUCUGAGAGGAUGAUCGGACACACUGGAACUGAGACACGGUCCAGACUCCUACGGGAGGCAGCAGUGGGGAAUAUUGCGCAAUGGGGGAAACCCUGACGCAGCAACGCCGCGUGAGUGAGGAAGAACUUCGGUCUGUAAAGCUCUGUUAAUGAGGAAAAAUGGUAGUUGGUCUAAUAGGCCGAUUAUUUGAUGGUACUCAUAGAGGAAGCACCGGCUAACUUCGUGCCAGCAGCCGCAGUAA